This is a long non-coding RNA of Sapajus apella (tufted capuchin), 1882 nucleotides long. RefSeq lists it as uncharacterized. The transcript is spliced from 2 exons. Lineage: Eukaryota; Metazoa; Chordata; Mammalia; Primates; Cebidae. The record is from RefSeq and is a predicted model, not a curated record.
GCUAGAGCCAAGGCCUUUGAUUCUUACCCCGUCUCCUGGAUUCUUGUUCAUCAUCUCCUGCCUGGCCCAGCAGCUAGAUUAGUAAACCCCCUGUAGUCUUCCACUUUCAUAAUCAGCUUGUUCAAGAAGGUCAUUGCCUUGCUCCUUUUACUUGGUUUUAACUGCUGUAAAUUGCGUAUGUAUGGAGGGGUGCGUGGUUCUUAUGGCCCAUAGUCUUUACUGCCCAUUUGACCCUGUUCUCGCAAUCUCCAUUCACUGAGUUGGUUCCCAUUAUUUCAGGGUAGAAUACCUUAGCUUCACAUCUUCCAUGGUUUUCUGACGUUUGUCAGGAAAUUAAGGGAUGCCUCUGAAGUUUUGGAAUCUUAAUGUAUUUGGGACUUCAUAGUUGUAAGAAAAGUCUUAAAGUUGAUGUCUAAAAGAUUGGAUUGGUUUUUUUUGUUGUUGUUCUUUUUUUCACUAAGCCUACAUGGAAAUACCCAUUUGAGUGGACCAGAUGAGACAAAAAUUACCUGAGCUUGUCCUUAUGUGCCUAGUUUCUCAAAGAACUCAUUGUCCCUAAAGUAGUUAUCAUUAAGCUGUCAGAAACCUUUGGUGCCAACAGUGUAGAGAAUGUUGGCAGAGCACAGGAAUGAUCCCAAGAAAGCUUUCUGUGUUGACAGAUUGCAAGUCUGGCUUAAACAGACUUUUAGCUGACAUGUUUUAAACAGAGUUACCACUGAGCACUGCACAAACUUAGGAAUUCUUUGUUGUUAUCUCUCGCUCCAUGAGAAAUAAUGGAUUGUAAUUGAUACUUGUUUUUUAAAAAUUGGAUUAUUUUAGACCAGACACCCAUUUCUAGGAAGUAUUAGUAGUGUCUCCAGUUCAAUUUCAGUAGAAUGUCUAACUUUAUAAGUUUACACUGAUAGUUGACUAUCUCUGACUUUAUUUUAGGGUUGUAUGUAACUAAAAUGAGUGGCAGCAACUGAUGUUUGAGACCAAACCAGUCUUGAGCAAAACCAUUUAGUCAAAUAGGGAAAAUGAUUUAUUUAUUUAUUUAUUUUUUUUGGCUUUUCGGGACACUUUCCUAUAGUCCCCUUCCUCACAUCUCUGAUGGAAUUCUGCCCACUUGGCUAUUACAGACCUCCCUGGAACACCCGAUUACUAAUCUAUAUCAUCUGCAAGUCCUUUCCAUGCAAAAUUGUUAGUUCUUUUUUUCCACAUGCUCCCAGGUAAUUAGACAGAUGAUUUGAUAAACAGGUUGGAACUAAGACUUUUUGUUGAGAUGAAAGCCAUGUUCAUGGUUCACGGAUGGGUAAAUGUGGGGAUUUUCUUGAGUGUCAGGCCCAGAGAUCAAGGAGAGCUUUCAGUCCAAGAGGCAGUUCUGAAUUCCUCUUUGAUUCAUGUCAUGUGCCACCCAUAUUUGGGUUCAGAUUGGGCAGAAUAGACUAAUUUUGGCUUUGUGGAGGUGUGUAAAUCCCACUCUAAUCAAAAUAACUCCAUUUCCAAGAUGAGGCCUCUUUUUAAGCCUGUGUUCAUGUUUUUCAUGGUAUGGCCGUUUUUUUUUUUUUUUUUAAACUACAAACACCAUAAUUAUAAAGAGGAACCAAGAGUAUGUGGAUAAUUCUCUCAUCAGAUAGGAUCUGCAGGGGAGUGGAGGAAGAGUUGUGAUAUUUUAGUUCGGGGUGGUUCCCACUGCACUGUUCUGCAGAGAAAGUGGGCUGUUCAAGCCCCCUAACAGACACAGUAAGUGGCCUUUUAUGUUUUAUUUCAAAUAACGACCAAAUAAAACGGGGUGAUGCUUUGAUUAUAAUUAUGUGAAACUCUUAUAUUGAUGGAUACCACAUAAAGAAAAGUUCACAAAUCAGUGAAUUAAUAAUCACACAGGUCAAGAAAUAGAACAUUU